UAUAGCUUAGUGGUUAGAGCACUCGCCUUACAAGCGAGAGGACCUGGGUUCGAUCCCCAGCAGAGCAA
Non-coding RNA from Callorhinchus milii (elephant shark), 68 nucleotides. Lineage: Eukaryota; Metazoa; Chordata; Chondrichthyes; Chimaeriformes; Callorhinchidae. The record is from the annotation of a RefSeq genome assembly.